Molecule: ribosomal RNA, 274 nt
Filed under: uncultured bacterium
Lineage: Bacteria
Description: partial 16S ribosomal RNA
Rfam family: Bacterial small subunit ribosomal RNA
Source: RNAcentral
AUACGGAGGGUGCAAGCGUUACUCGGAAUCACUGGGCGUAAAGCGCGCGCAGGCGGCUUGAUAAGUUGGAUGUGAAAGCCUACGGCUCAACCGUAGAACUGCAUCCAAAACUGUCAAGCUAGAGUCUGGGAGGGGAAGAUGGAAUUAGUUGUGUAGGGGUAAAAUCCGUAGAGAUAACUAGGAAUACCAAAAGCGAAGGCGAUCUUCUGGAACAGUACUGACGCUGAGGCGCGAAAGCGUGGGGAGCGAACAGGAUUAGAAACCCUAGUAGUCC